RNAcentral lists this ribosomal RNA (328 nucleotides) under uncultured Flavobacteriia bacterium. RNAcentral describes it as "bacterial SSU rRNA". It matches the Rfam family "Bacterial small subunit ribosomal RNA", at positions 568 to 898 of the family's 1533-position model. Lineage: Bacteria; Pseudomonadati; Bacteroidota; Flavobacteriia. The record is from RNAcentral.
UGCGUAGGUGGGUUGGUAAGUCAGUGGUGAAAUACUUUCGCUUAACGAAGGAACUGCCAUUGAUACUACCAGUCUUGAAUACAGUGGAGGUAGGCGGAAUGCGUCAUGUAGCGGUGAAAUGCUUAGAUAUGACGCAGAACACCAAUUGCGAAGGCAGCUUGCUACACUGUUAUUGACACUGAGGCACGAAAGCGUGGGGAUCAAACAGGAUUAGAUACCCUGGUAGUCCACGCCCUAAACGAUGAUUACUCGAUCUCAGCGAUACACUGUUGGGGUCUAUGUGAAAGCAUUAAGUAAUCCACCUGGGGAGUACGAUCGCAAGAUUGAA